Molecule: long non-coding RNA, 439 nt
Organism: Corticium candelabrum
Lineage: Eukaryota; Metazoa; Porifera; Homoscleromorpha; Homosclerophorida; Plakinidae
Exons: 5
Source: RefSeq, a predicted model, not a curated record
UUUAGUUUCAGAGUAACUCUGAAUUUCGUUGUGCUUACCACCAAUUUGAAAGUAACACUUGGUCGUCCAAUGGUGUUACAACGGAAAUUCUUGGAGAAGGAAACAUUUUAUGCAGCAGCACUCAUCUUACCAGUUUCUGUGUUCUUACGUCAGUUCAGGAAGCUGUGAUCACAGUCAGUUUGAGGUACAUCACUUACUUUGGUUGCGGAAUGUCUCUUGUUUGUAUGGUUUUAGCUCUCAUUUGUCUCAUCUACUUCAGGUCGGAUUUAUAUCCUCAGAAGAACUUUGUGAACAUCAAUUUCCUUAUUGCUCUGACGCUAGCUUUUACGUUCUUUCUAGCAGGAAUAGAUCAAUCUAGCAACCGGGCUACAUGCAAGGCAAUGGCCAUCAUAAUGCACUAUCUGUUUCUGGUAGCAUUUUGCUGGAUGUUGUGUGAAGG